AAUCUUGCGCAGUGGCAAUAUCGUAACCAAUGAAGGUCUCCUGAGGUGCGAUUAUUGCUAGUUGAAAUUCUAGUAAUUAUUCUUAGUUUUAUUUCAAUUUAUUUUUGGUCGAUUCUGCAUUGU
Molecule: small nuclear RNA, 123 nt
Filed under: Rhodnius prolixus
Lineage: Eukaryota; Metazoa; Arthropoda; Insecta; Hemiptera; Reduviidae
Description: U4 spliceosomal RNA
Rfam family: U4 spliceosomal RNA
About the family: U4 small nuclear RNA (U4 snRNA) is a component of the major U2-dependent spliceosome.
Source: Rfam by way of RNAcentral